Molecule: ribosomal RNA, 252 nt
Filed under: uncultured bacterium
Lineage: Bacteria
Description: partial 16S ribosomal RNA
Rfam family: Bacterial small subunit ribosomal RNA
Source: RNAcentral
UACGUAGGUCCCGAGCGUUGUCCGGAUUUAUUGGGCGUAAAGCGAGCGCAGGUGGUUUAUUAAGUCUGGUGUAAAAGGCAGUGGCUCAACCAUUGUAUGCAUUGGAAACUGGUAGACUUGAGUGCAGGAGAGGAGAGUGGAAUUUCAUGUGUAGCGGUGAAAUGCGUAGAUAUAUGGAGGAACACCGGUGGCGAAAGCGGCUCUCUGGCCUGUAACUGUCACUGAGGCUCGAAAGCGUGGGGAGCAAACAGG